CCUACGGGUGGCAGCAGUGGGGAAUAUUGCACAAUGGGGGAAACCCUGAUGCAGCGACGCCGCGUGAGUGAAGAAGUAUUUCGGUACGUAAAGCUCUAUCAGCAGGGAAGAAAAUGACGGUACCUGACUAAGAAGCCCCGGCUAACUACGUGCCAGCAGCCGCGGUAAUACGUAGGGGGCAAGCGUUAUCCGGAUUUACUGGGUGUAAAGGGAGCGUAGACGGCAGCGCAAGUCUGGAGUGAAAUCGCAGGGCUUAACCAUGGAACUGCUUUGGAAACUGUGCAGCUAGAGUGCAGGAGAGGUAAGCGGAAUUCCUAGUGUAGCGGUGAAAUGCGUAGAUAUUAGGAGGAACACCAGUGGCGAAGGCGGCUUACUGGACUGUAACUGACGUUGAGGCUCGAAAGCGUGGGGAGCAAACAGGAUUAGAUACCCUAGUAGUC
This 440-nucleotide ribosomal RNA is filed under the name uncultured bacterium. Its description in RNAcentral is "partial 16S ribosomal RNA". It matches the Rfam family "Bacterial small subunit ribosomal RNA", at positions 338 to 795 of the family's 1533-position model. The record is from RNAcentral.